Molecule: RNA transcript, 12354 nt
Organism: Orcinus orca (killer whale)
Lineage: Eukaryota; Metazoa; Chordata; Mammalia; Artiodactyla; Delphinidae
Gene: SLC38A9
Gene name: solute carrier family 38 member 9
Exons: 17
Source: RefSeq, a predicted model, not a curated record
GUCGGCUGUUACCCGGGGAAGUUCUUCAGGGAAACGCCUCCGAACUGUGGCUUCUUGCGGAAGCGGUGAGGCCAAAGCCGGGGCCCGCGGAGACCGGUCCGGAGAGGCGGCGCGCGUUCCUACAGGUCUCGGGACUGAUUUCUUCAGUGCUUAGAGUCUGAGAAAAAAUGGCAAAUAUGGAUAGUGAUUCUAGCCAUCUUCUCAUCCCUGAGGUAGAUAAUGAAAUAAAUCCUGGACCUAUGAAUAUCCAGUUUGAUUCAUCAGAUAUAAGAUCCAAAAGGCCUUUCUAUAUAGAGCCCACAAACAUCGUCACUGUGAAUGAUGUCAUUCAGAGGGUUAGUGACCAUGCCUCUGCAAUGAACAAGAGGAUUCAUUACUACAGCCGGCUCACUGCUCCUGCAGACAAGGCACUGGUUGCCCCAGAUCAUGUAGUUCCAGCUCCAGAAGAGUGCUAUGUGUAUAGUCCAUUAGGUUCUGCUUAUAAACUUCAAAGUUACACCGAAGGAUAUGGUAAAAACACCAGUUUAGUAACCAUUUUUAUGAUUUGGAAUACCAUGAUGGGAACAUCUAUACUAAGUAUUCCUUGGGGCAUAAAACAGGCUGGGUUUACUACUGGAAUGUGUGUCAUCAUGCUGAUGGGCCUUUUAACACUUUAUUGCUGCUACAGAGUGGUGAAAUCACGAACUAUCAUAUCAUCAGUGGAUACCACUACCUGGGAAUAUCCAGAUGUCUGCAGAUAUUAUUUUGGCUCCUUUGGGCAGUGGUCAAGUCUCCUUUGCUCCUUGGUGUCUCUUAUUGGAGCAAUGAUAGUGUAUUGGGUGCUUAUGUCUAAUUUUCUUUUUAAUACUGGAAAGUUUAUUUUUAACUUUAUUCAUCACAUUAAUGACACAGAUGCAAUACUGAGCACCAACGAUAGCAACCCUGUGAUUUGUCCAAGCGCCAGGAGUGGUGACCAUCCUGACAAUGGCUCUAUGAUUUUCUACACCAAUGACUCGGGACUCCAGCAGUUUGAAAAGUGGUGGAAUAAGUCCAAGACAGUGCCCUUUUACCUCAUGGGACUCCUCCUGCCACUGCUUAAUUUCAAAUCUCCUUCAUUUUUUUCAAAAUUUAAUAUCCUAGGCACAGUGUCCGUUCUCUACUUGAUUUUUCUUGUCACCUUGAAGGCUAUUCACUUGGGAUUUCAUUUGGAGUUUCAUUGGUUUACGCCAACAGAAUUUUUUGUCCCAGAGAUAAGAUUUCAGUUUCCACAGCUGACUGGGGUGCUUACCCUUGCUUUCUUUAUUCAUAAUUGUAUUAUCACCCUCUUGAAGAACAACAAGAACCAAGAAAACAAUGUGAGGGACUUGUCCAUUGCUUAUAUACUGGUGACAUUAACUUAUUUCUAUAUUGGAGUCCUGGUUUUUGCUUCAUUUCCUUCACCACCAUUAUCCAAAGAUUGUAUAGAGCAGAAUUUUUUAGACAACUUCCCUAGCAGUGACAUCCUGUCCUUCAUUGCAAGGAUAUUCCUGCUGUUCCAGAUGAUGACUGUAUAUCCACUCCUAGGCUACUUGGCUCGUGUCCAGCUGUUGGGCCAUAUCUUCGGUGACGUUUAUCCUAGCAUUUUCCACGUGUUGAUUCUUAAUCUAGUUAUUGUGGGAGCUGGCGUGCUCAUGGCCUGUUUCUACCCAAACAUAGGAGGAAUCAUAAGGUUGUUCUAAGGUUUUCUUUAAUUGUGUAUCGUGCAAAGGCCAAGUCUAAAUCAUCUCCGACAGCCCUGCUGCUCUGAAUCCUGAUUCGAAAUCUUGGUGAAGGUGUAUUUUGUUGUUUCUCUAAGUCCUUCUCAAGUAGUUCUCUUGGUUCCUUUGUUUCUGAUGACCUUUUGUCUAGUACCUGGAGCAUAUUAAUGCUCUAUGGUUAAUCAGAUUUAGACUGCUGCAGGAAUUGUGUUAGUUUAUCAAGUUAACUCAAGGGGAUUCUCUGCGGAAAAAAAAAGCUAAAGUUUGCAGAGGUUCCAGUAGUUCUCAACCCUGACCGACUUCACUGGGCUCAAUACUGUACCAAAAGCAGCCAAACCUAUUUCCCCAGCACUACUCAACAGUUUGGAAAUUGCCAGUUGUUACUUUCUAAGUGUUUUGGUUACUGCUUUAUCCUUAACACCUGUUACUUUGUCACACGGCAGAUGGAUGCUCAGGAAAUACUUGUUGAUGGAAUGAACAAGAUACCUGGUAGAAUAAUUUGUUGUAACAAAUCAAACUACAAACAAAAUAGAAGAAAGUAUGAGUGAAUGCUUCUCUUGGCUGUGUAUGGAUAAAGACUAUCUUAAGUUUACGAGCCAUGGAGGAAAUCAUCUGGAAAAAAAGAUGGAUUUUCUAAUAUUCACCUUUCUUCAAAAUGAUCCUGAAAGAUGAGUCAGAAGUCCCAUAACUGCUUUCCAUAGGGGGAAGCUGGGGCCCAGAAAGGUUAAGCAAAUUCCCUACCAGGGCAUCAGAGGAACUCUAGGUUCUCAAGUGGUUAUGGAAAUCUAGUCAAAAUGGAAUGAAACUUCUGCUUCCUUAGGUUAUCUUUCCUGUUUGUUUAAAAUUAGAUCCUUUCUAUUUUAUCAGUUCCUAGGAGAUUGUUUUUGACACAUGUAAAUUUGGAGUCCCCUCUAAUUGGAACCAGUUUUCUCCAGGACACCCCAGUCAUUGGUUAUGAGGCCUCUCCUCCUCAUAUAAACAUAGCCCUCAGGACUUGCCUGGUGGUCCGGUGGGUAAGACUCCAAGCUCCCAAUGCAGGGGGCCUGGGUUCGAUCCCUGGUUGGGGAACUAGAUCUCAGCAUGCAUGCUGCAACUAAGACCUGGCACAGCCUAAAUAAAUAAGUAAAUAAAUAUUAAAAAGAAAAGAAACCUAGCCUUUUAAAAAUAAUAAAAAUAAAAAAAUACAGCCCUCUUCUGGCCAAGCAGUCCAUUGCUGAUCAAUGUCACCAAUAUUACCCAGAGGAUGUAGAGUGACCCGUUUAAUUGCUGGCCCUGGAGUGUAUUGUCUAUGAAACCCAUGUAUUCAGGGGUUUUUCGCUUAGUAAAGCUGUUUGAACAUAUUUACUCUCAGAGUUUUAUUAUUUACUUUUAGAUUCCAAGAUAUUUUGAUCAUCUGAAUUGAGAAAGAAAGAUUUAACCUUGAGAAAGGAGAAAAAGUAGAAAGAGAGUUACGGGUUUUGUGAAUUUUAGAUUUUCCCAGGGAAAAAGUUGAAAAGGGGACAAUUCUAUUUUUAGGCACACAAAAUUCUUGAGCCAUAUGAUGUACUUCCGUUUUCAUAGAGUGAAGUUAGAAGGACUCUAAGAGAUUUUUUUUGUCCAACCUCUCCACCUUAUAGAUGAAGAAAUUGAAUUCAAGUAAGUUUUGACAUGUCUUAGAGCUAUUUCCCUGUCAUUGUGUAUAUAUUUACCUUAUUUUUUUAAAAAAAAGCUGUGUAACAUUCUAUAAGGAUGCAUCUUAAUUUAUUUAGCCAUAUUUCUUUGAGGAAUAUUUUGGUUAUUUCCAAUUUUUUUCCCACUAUUAUAAACAAUGCUGCAGUGAAUAACCUUGUAUAGGUGUCUUAGUAUUUACUUAGUAUUUUUACAGGAUAGAUAACCAGAAACGAAGUAAAAAUUUUAGUAGAAAUAGUCCUCUUAGUUAAUUGUACCCAUGGCUGCACAUCCUUGCCAACACUGGAUAUUAUCAAACUUUUAAGUUGUUUUCUUUUUUUUUCUUUUUUUUUUUUUUCUUAUUUUGGUCACGCCCCGAGGCUUGCAGGAUCUCAGUUCCCUGACCAGGGAUUGAACCCGGGCCAUGGCAGUGAAAGCGCUGAAUCCUAACCACCGGACGACCAGGGAACUCCCCGAAUUUAGGUUUUUAAAAUAAUUUUGAUCUUUUACAUUUAGUUUAUUGAUCUAUCUGAAAUGUGAUUUCCUGUGUUAUGUGAGAUGCGGGCCUAACUUCCUCAUUUUGUCAAUAUUGAGUAUGAGAGGAGGAGCAGAGCACUAGGUGUGCGAAGAGAAAGGAAGGCAGCUAAAGGCAGCCACCAGGUUACACAAUCCACUCAACAAAAUAAAAGCCCUCAGCUUACCAGACCUGAGCCCUGUGGAUACCUUAGAAGGCCAGUUAGGGACCAUGUAGAACGGUUACAUCAUGUUUGCAUUUGGGGGUUUAACUGUACAGGCUUUUAAGCUUCUGAGGGCCCAGAUACUAGCAACUUUAGGACAUUUUAAGAGACUUUUUUUUUUUUUUUUUUUUUUGCGGUACGCGGGCCUCUCACUGUUGUGGCCUCUCCUGUUGCGGAGCACAGGCUCCGGACGUGCAGGCUCAGUGUCCGGACGCGCAGGCUCAGUGUCCGGACGCGCAGGCUCAGCGGCCAUGGCUCACGGGCCCAGCUGCUCUGCGGCACGUGGGAUCCUCCCGGACCGGGGCACGAACCCGCGUCCCCCGCAUCGGCAGGCAGACUCCCAACCACUGUGCCACCAGGGUGGAAGAGUGGCAGUGAGAGGGAAAAGAUGGCCUGAGCAGACUGGCAGAAGCUAGGGGAGGCACGGCAGCCCCAGCCAGCUCUGGACCACGUUCCAGUCCCAGGGAAAAAGCAGGGACCAGGCGGGCACACUGACCAUAAACACGGGGAACCUACAGCUUAGUGCACACCUGGGUCAAUCCCACCAUCUGGGGGCCAGAUGUGGGUGCAGCAGGCAAAUUCCAAGCCCACUAAUAAGCAAAGAACUCCCAAUAAUGCCACGUGUAGCCUUCGGAGGCUCAGGACUGAGAAAUGCAGAAUGAUCAAGUGCUUGGCCGUUGUUCCAGAGGCCAGACAGGAUUGACGCCAGCAGGAACUGACAUGUCUGCAUGUUGUUGGCUGAGGACCUCAAAAGCCCAAGGUAGGGGUAAGGGCUCAUUAGGAGGCAGGGGCCUAACUGGAUUCUGUUUACUCUUAACUGGUUAAGUUUGCAUUGCCAGAUUAAGUUACUGAUUAAGCCCACAGAUGUACCCCUAGCCCCCACCACACACACAUUUUUUUGUCUUCUAUUCUCUAUUUGUAAUUCUUUCUGGCUGUCGCUGCUCCUCUCCUGGUUUUAUGCCAUUAUGAUGUGUGGAAAACAUCAGAAGACCUCUCUACAGUGUCUUAAAAUGCCUGAGUACAAAGAUGAACAAAAAAUCUAUCAAAGCUGGUUUUGGACUCAGUACUGUGAUGUGUCAUUUCCAAAGGUCAGAAAGCUGAGUGCUGAAGUGACCAAGUUUCCAAGCCCUCUGGAUUUGCCAUCUUUUGGCAUUUCCAUAAGUUUUCUGGCCCCUAAAGGAAUCGCUGAUUUCUCUUUCCUGACUGUCUUUUAAUCUCAGCUGUCCUGAGCAGAGCUUCCCCAAUUCUGGACAGGACCAGCUGGUCAGCCCUCUCCUCUCUGGGGCUCCUGAGUUUUCUUCCUCUGUAUGCGGAGAUGUACAGUUCAGAAGGUCAGCCAGGGGUUGGUGUGACGGAUCCAGCCAAGGGCUCUGCUCAGUUUCCACCAUGCGGCUCAGAAACAAAGCAGCCACGACGAGUAUUGCCAAGACCAUGUGCUGGGAGCCAGGAGUAGAUGAAUUCCCGGUGUGAGCAAGGAAAACAGCACCCGAGUUUGCUGCGACUGUGAUUAACAUUCAGGAUUCCUCCGGUAGAAGGCCCCUCCUGAGAAACCAUAACAUUUGCAGAAGUGGAUUCAAGCAAACCCCAGUGGUUUUCAAUCUCAGUCUCUUUCUCUCGCAGGCCCUCUCUCUCUUUUCCCUUUCUUUGGCAGCAAAUCCCUAUGUUCAAAUAUACAUUUUAAAUAAAAACCAGUACACAAAAGAGAUCAAGAUUCAGUCUGUCUGAUUUUUUGUGGAGGCUGGGGACCCACGUGGCCCCUCCCCCAGUCACCCCAGGGUAAUUUCGGGGUAUUGUUCGGCCCCAUGGAACCCAGGGUUUGAAAGCCAUUGCUCUGGUCUGUCUUCCCCACACACAGAGGGAAUAUGGAUCUUCUCUGAUCCUGACUCCUCAGCUGCUCCCCAAACAACAUUCCCCCACCCCUCCCCCAAACUGCUUUUAUGCUUCAACACAUGCCAAGAACUUUAUCGGGUGAGAUUUGUUGUAUUUCUUUCUUAAAAGUUGGAAAGUGUCCUUUGAUGGAAAAUGAGUCUAAUGAUAACUUGUGAUAUUUUCAAAAAAGAGCAUUGGCCUGAACUUCAUGUAUUUUAUUCUCCUAGAAAAAUAGAAGUGUGAUCACGUGGUUUCAUUUCCUUGAGGUCAAGAAGGCAGCAUUUACAGAUGGUUCCCUCACCUCCCCCAUGAGAUGGGAGAACCCAGGCUGUGGCUGUCCUCACUGGCUCUGUUGCAUUGGCUUUGUGUUAAUGCAACAUCUUGGAUCGAAUUGAACUUGCUUCAUUUUUUGAUUAUUACACACUCUAUCAGCCACUUAAUUUUCCUGCCAUUGACCACUAGUUACAUUUUCAUCUAUAACCUCAGAUGCCAUGGGAUAGAAAACUGUGAGAAAGUUCAUCUCUGAAGCAGUGGAAAGUUCCCAGAUGUGAGAACAACACAGCAACCUAUGGUGGGAAAGGCCACUAAACAGCUUUAUUACAUCAGCUAUCACAAAUAGCAAAGAUUCUUGGGGUGGAAAAAUUAUUAUUUUAUAAGAUUACCAGUCAUCCCAGAAGCACAAUGUGUUUUUAGCCGUUCAUUUCAAAGUUGGCUCAUUCCUCAGCUACCUACUUAGUUUUCCUUUUUUUUCAAUAGUGGUUAGACUGUAUUUCUCUAGGCCACACCAGCCAGAAUGCUUUGCACUCUGAAUAUACAAAUAGUGAUGAUCUGAGUCUCUCCUGUUUUUAUCCUCACCUCUAGUCCCCACCAAUGCCCCUUCUGGGAAUCCCCAGAAAGCAUCUCACCUGGACUCACCAAAAAGCACAGGACCAUCGUGGGCUGCCACCACUGUCUUCCUCUGCCCUGUCCCUCUCCAGUGAUGUCAACUGCCCAGCCUGCACUCCCCAGGCAGCUGUACGAUGGUGCCUCAAGGCUGCCUCCAAUGUCCCCAGCCAACAACUCAUCCAGGCACAUUGCCACUGCCACCACCCCCAAUACACAGGGGCCUUCAGUGUACCAAUGUGGAGAGGAAUAUUCUGGAGGUCAUGAAGUUUGGGGACAAAAUGGGAGAAAGUCCUCUCCCUUUUGGGUAAUACAUCUGUAUGAAUGGAAUACUGAGGCAGUACUAUCUUUUAUCCAGUGUCUUAGAAGUGUUUUUUAAUAAAAUUUGUUUGUUUAUUUAUUUAUUUAUUUUUGGCUGCGUUGGGUCUUCGUUGCUGCGCGCGGGCUUUUUAUAGUUGCAGCGAGCGGGGGAUACUCUUCGUUGCGGUGCGCGGGCUUCUCAUUACAAUGGCUUCUCUUGUUGCGGAGCACGGACUCUAGGCGUGCAGGCUUCAGUAGUUGUGGCACGAGGACUUAAGUAGUUGUGGCAUGUGGGCUCAGUAGUUGUGGCUCGUGGGCUCUAGAGCGCAGGCUCAGUAGCUGUGGUACACGGGCUUAGUUGCUCCGAGGCAUGUGGGAUCUUCCCAGACCAGGGCUCGAACCCGUGUCCCCUCCAUUGGCAGGCGGAUUCUUAACCACUGCACCACCAGAGAAGUCCCUCUUAGAGGUUUUUUUUUUGCGGUACGCGGGCCUCUCACUGUUGUGGCCUCUCCCGUUGCGGAGCACAGGCUCCGGACGUGCAGGCUCAGCGGCCAUGGCUCACGGGCCUAGCCACUCUGCGGCAUGUGGGAUCUUCCCGGACCAGGGCACGAAUCCGUGUCCCCUGCAUCGGCAGGCGGACUCUCAACCACUGCGCCACCAGGGAAGCCCCCUCUUAGAGUUUUUUAUGAGAAUAAUUAUCUUAGCCCAUUCGGGAUGCUAUACCAGAAAUACCACAGACUAGGGGGCUUAUAAGUAUCAGAAAUUUAUUUGUCACACUUCUGGAGGCUGGAAGUCCAAGAUCAGAGUGCCAUCGUGGUUGGGUUCUGGGGAGGACCCUCUUCUGUGCUGCAGACUGCUGACUUCUUGCUGUAUCCUCACAUGGCACAGGGAGCUAGGGAAAUCUGCGGGGUCUCUUUUAUAAGGGUGCUAAUCCCAUGCAUGAGGGCUCCAAGCUCAUGACCUAAUAAUCACCUCUCAAAAGCCCCACCUUCUAGUACCAUCACAUUACGGGGUUAGGAUUUCAACAUCUGAAUUUUAGGAGGACAAAAACAUUCAAACCGUGGAAAUCAUGCUUUCAAAUUUUACCCACAGGCCUUUCUCUUCUAGGACUCAGUGCUGGAUACAUGGAGGCAAGACCAGGGUUUGGGGAAUCCUGUGUUUUCGGAACUAUGCCUCACACCAAAAGCCUUAAUACACUUUUCUGUUUAAGUCUGUCUUCCCUUAAAUUAGUUCUCUCUCCCAAGUUUAUUCUUCCUCUUAAAAACCGGUUUCUGACAUCUGACGUCACCAAACAGGCCCAGACACAUCUGAACCCCAGCAGGGGAUGGCUUAGACUUAAGCUAAGGAAACCAUUGCUAUAUAACUUUCAAGUUUAAAUUGACUGUAGGCUCUUUAGCCAAUAUGUAUGCCUUUUUUUAAAAAAACAGAUAAUAUCAGUCAUUCAUUCCCAAGUUAGUCGUUUUCUUUUCUUUUGCCUUUUCCUUAUGAGCUCUUGGAUGUCAAAAGGCAGAUUGGCAAGGUCAUUACUGAUCAUCUGAUUCAUGCACAUUAAUUAUGUAAGUAUGAAGUGUAUCGUUCCUAUUUCUCCAGGUCAGCAUUCUGUUUGCCUAAAAUAAAUUUACUCCAAUGGAUCUUUACUAGGAUGUGGAGCAGUUGGAACCCUCACACAUUGCUGGUGGGAAUGUAAAACAAUGCAGCCACUUUGGAAAUCAGUCCUGCAGUUCCUCAAAGAAGUUGAACAUGGAGUUACCAUAUGACCCAACAAUUCCACUCUAGGUAUAUACCUGUGAGAAAUGAAAACAUAAGUUCACGUAACAACUUGUAUACUAAUGUUCAUAGCAUCAUUAUCCAUCAUAGCCCCGAAGUGGAAACAACACGAGUAUCCAUCAACUGAUGAAUGGACAAAUAAAAUGUGAUAUAUGCAUGCAAUGAAAUAUUAUUCAGACACAUAAAGGAAUGAAGCCCUGACAUAUGCUACAAUUAGGAUGACAUUUUUUAUUGUGAAAUUCUAUGUAUUUCACUAAAUAAAUGAGUAUAUAUUGAUAUUUUUCAAUUUCUUUUAGCUGUUUUCAUCAGCUAAAACAGGAAAACGGUGGAGGUUUUUUGUUUUUUUAAAUUGAGAUGCAAUUCACAGAGCAUAGCCUCCCCCCCACUUUUAAAGUAUACAAUUCAAUGGUUUUUAGUAUAUUCACAGAUAUCUGCAACCAUAACCACUAUCUAAUUCCAGAACAUUCUCAUCACCCCAUAAAGAAACCUCAUACCAAUUAGCAGUCCCUCUCCAUUUCCCUACCCCCCAGCCCCUGGCAACUACAAAUCUCCUUUCUGCCUCUAUGGCUUUGCUUGUUCUGGAGAUUUUAUAUAAAUAAAAUCACAUAGGUGGCCUUUUGUGUCUGCCUUCUUCUACUUAGCUAAUGUCUUCAAGGUUCAUCCAAACUGUGACCAACACAGAUAUAUUCCUGCCUUCACAGGGCAAUUCAGUACAGCACACGGCUCUGUGGGACCAUGUGGAAGGAACACCCACUCAGACAUGACGGGCCAGGGAAAUCUUUCCAGACCCCUUGCUUCCUACUAGAGGCCUGAAGUCGAGCCAGAGUCAGGGACACAAAGAGCAGACUGAGGAGAAAGAGGAAAUGGCGUAUGCAAGGACCCUGAGGUGGGAGAGAACACAGCAUGUUCUGGGAACUGAAAGCAGUUCAGGUCCAAUCUAAACAUUUGGUCUGCACUGAGUCCAGACUAUUACAUUUAGGAAUUCAGCACUUUGCCAGGGUUCCAGCUUGUUCACACUUUACUCUGUGUGUCAGUCCGUUAGAAUGUUUUCAGCUGCAAGUAACAGAGGCUGACUCCCACAGGUUUAAAGAUUAAGGACAUUUAUUAUCUCAUAUGACAGGGUGGGCAGACUUCAGGGUUGGUGGAUUCAGUGGCUUAACAAUGUCAUUAGGGGACUUCCCUGGGGAUCCAGUGGCUAAGAGUCUGCCUUCCAGUGCGGGGGUUUGAUCCCUGGUCAGGGAGCUAGGAUCCCACAUGCUGAGGGACAACUGAGCCUGCAUGCCACAACUACUGAGCCCGCACGCCUCAACUAGAGAGCCCAUGUGCUGCAAACUACAGAGCCCAGGUGCUCUGGAGCCCAUGCACCACAACUACAGAGAAGGCCACGCACCACAACGGAAGAGCCCGCGCGCUGCAAUGAAGAUCCUGCAGCUAAGACCUGACGCAGCCAAAAAUAAAGUAAAAUAAAAAACAACAACAAAAACAAUGUCACUAGGGACCCAAGUUCGUUCUGUCUGUCUCUCUGCUAACUACCUGUUCAGCUUCUGUCUAAGGCAAGUUCCCCUUGAGGCCACACAACCUGGGACAACAUGUUUCCCUGUUAUUUUUCAACAGGAGAGACACGCACUUCUGUUUUCUGAAAGCCCCAGCAAGGAUUCCCUGACAUCUCAUUGGCACAAGUUCCUGAACAGAGUCCUGGUGAGGGAGCAGUUACCAUGAGCAGCUUGGAUUAAUUAUGUGGCGAUGGAUGGAGGACUGGGGAGUCAACCUCAGUGUGACCACACUGGGGACCUUAAACACAGUUGGGUGCCUUGGGCUGGCAAUGCAUUCACCAGCAGCUGCCUUGGGGUUCAUCUCCCACUCUUGUAUCCAAAAAUAUAUCCAAGCCCAACUUCAAAGUAGGAUGAGUAAUGUGAUUUCUGUUCCACAGGUUUUGUGAGAACUGUCUGUCAUACCUAAAAAAUUCCUAAAAAUUAUCUGUAAACCUCUUUCUCUUUCCUCAGAUUUCCACUCUCCACCACAGGUACUACAUCUCUUUCUAUCUCUCUCUGCCCCAUCUUCCUCCUGAGACCGCUUACAGCCAAGCUGGUUGUUUCCUCUUUCCCCACUCCCUUUCUUUAAAUCACUUAGCUUGCAUUUUCCUCUCAACACAAACUACUGCUGCCCCAUGCAAAGGAACAGAAUUUUAGGUAAUUCUACUGUUCCUCUUGCAUGUUUCCAAGGGCUUCAAUUCACUCUGCCAAGAAUUCAACAGGAGAUCUGAACACUCGUACUGGUGUCUCUACAUACAAAGAUUCUGAUCACUUCAAACUCUUUCAACUCAAUAAGCUUAUUAAUCAUCAAUAACUAUUAAAAUUUAUGGGCAGUUCUCCAGAGAUAAACCCACUCACAUAUGGUCACCUUAUCUUUGAUAAAGGAGGCAAGAAUAUACAAUGGAGAAAAGACAGCCUCUUCAAUAAGUGAUGCUGGGAAAACUGGACAACUACAUGUAAAAGAAUGAAAGAAGAACACUUCCUAACACCAUAUACAAAAAUAAACUCAAAAUGGAUUAAAGACCUAAAUGUAAGGCCAGACACUAUAAAACUCUUAGAGGAAAACAUAGGCAGAACACUCUAUGAAAUAAAUCACAACAAGAUCCUUUUUGACCCACUUCCUAGAGAAAUGGAAACAAAAAUAAAAAUAAACAAAUGGGACCUAAUGAAACUUCAAAGCUUUUGCACAGCAAAGGAAACCAUAAACAAGAUGAAGACAACCCUCAGAAUGGGAGAAAAUAUUUGCAAAUGAAGCAACUGAUAAAGGAUUAAUCUCCAAAAUAUAUAAGCAGCUCAUGUAGCUCAAUAUCAAAUAAACAAACAACCCAAAUGGGCAGAAGACCUAAAUAGACAUGUCUCCAAAGAAGAUAUACAGAUUGCCAACAAACACAUGAAAGGAUGUUCAACAUCACUAAUCAUUAGAGAAAUGCAAAUCAAAACUACAAUGAGAUAUCAUCUCACACCGGUCAGAAUGGCCAUCAUCAAAAAAUCUACAAACAAUGAAUGCUGGAGAGGGUGUGGAGAAAAGGGAACCCUCUUGCACUGUUGGUGGGAAUGUAAAUUGAUACAGCCACUAUGGAGAACAGUAUGGAGGUUCCUUAAAAACUAAAAAUAGAACUACCAUAUGAUCCAGCAAUCCCACUACUGGGCAUAUACCCUGAGAAAACCAUAAUUCAAAAAGAGUCAUGUACCACAGUGUUCAUUGCAGCUCUAUUUACAACAGCCAGGGCAUGGAAGCAACCUAAGUGUCCAUCAACAGAUGAAUGGAUAAAGAAGAUGUGGCAUAUAUAUACAAUGGAGUAUUACUCAACCAUAAAAAGAUACGAAAUUGAGUUAUUUGUAGUGAGGUGGAUGGACCUAGAGUCUGUCAUACAAAGUGAAGUAAGUCAGAAAGAGAAAAACAAA